RNAcentral lists this ribosomal RNA (2905 nucleotides) under Salmonella enterica. Its description in RNAcentral is "23S ribosomal RNA". It matches the Rfam family "Bacterial large subunit ribosomal RNA". The record is from RNAcentral. Lineage: Bacteria; Pseudomonadati; Pseudomonadota; Gammaproteobacteria; Enterobacterales; Enterobacteriaceae.
GGUUAAGCGACUAAGCGUACACGGUGGAUGCCCUGGCAGUCAGAGGCGAUGAAGGACGUGCUAAUCUGCGAUAAGCGCCGGUAAGGUGAUAUGAACCGUUAUAACCGGCGAUUUCCGAAUGGGGAAACCCAGUGUGACUCGUCACACUAUCAUUAACUGAAUCCAUAGGUUAAUGAGGCGAACCGGGGGAACUGAAACAUCUAAGUACCCCGAGGAAAAGAAAUCAACCGAGAUUCCCCCAGUAGCGGCGAGCGAACGGGGAGGAGCCCAGAGCCUGAAUCAGCAUGUGUGUUAGUGGAAGCGUCUGGAAAGGCGCGCGAUACAGGGUGACAGCCCCGUACACAAAAGCGCAUGUGCUGUGAGCUCGAUGAGUAGGGCGGGACACGUGGUAUCCUGUCUGAAUAUGGGGGGACCAUCCUCCAAGGCUAAAUACUCCUGACUGACCGAUAGUGAACCAGUACCGUGAGGGAAAGGCGAAAAGAACCCCGGCGAGGGGAGUGAAACAGAACCUGAAACCGUGUACGUACAAGCAGUGGGAGCACCCUUCGGGGUGUGACUGCGUACCUUUUGUAUAAUGGGUCAGCGACUUAUAUUCUGUAGCAAGGUUAACCGAAUAGGGGAGCCGGAGGGAAACCGAGUCUUAAUUGGGCGUUAAGUUGCAGGGUAUAGACCCGAAACCCGGUGAUCUAGCCAUGGGCAGGUUGAAGGUUGGGUAACACUAACUGGAGGACCGAACCGACUAAUGUUGAAAAAUUAGCGGAUGACCUGUGGCUGGGGGUGAAAGGCCAAUCAAACCGGGAGAUAGCUGGUUCUCCCCGAAAGCUAUUUAGGUAGCGCCUCGUGAAUUCAUCUCCGGGGGUAGAGCACUGUUUCGGCUAGGGGGCCAUCCCGGCUUACCAACCCGAUGCAAACUGCGAAUACCGGAGAAUGUUAUCACGGGAGACACACGGCGGGUGCUAACGUCCGUCGUGAAGAGGGAAACAACCCAGACCGCCAGCUAAGGUCCCAAAGUCAUGGUUAAGUGGGAAACGAUGUGGGAAGGCCCAGACAGCCAGGAUGUUGGCUUAGAAGCAGCCAUCAUUUAAAGAAAGCGUAAUAGCUCACUGGUCGAGUCGGCCUGCGCGGAAGAUGUAACGGGGCUAAACCAUGCACCGAAGCUGCGGCAGCGACACUGUGUGUUGUUGGGUAGGGGAGCGUUCUGUAAGCCUGCGAAGGUGGCCUGUGAGGGUUGCUGGAGGUAUCAGAAGUGCGAAUGCUGACAUAAGUAACGAUAAAGCGGGUGAAAAGCCCGCUCGCCGGAAGACCAAGGGUUCCUGUCCAACGUUAAUCGGGGCAGGGUGAGUCGACCCCUAAGGCGAGGCCGAAAGGCGUAGUCGAUGGGAAACGGGUUAAUAUUCCCGUACUUGGUGUUACUGCGAAGGGGGGACGGAGAAGGCUAUGUUGGCCGGGCGACGGUUGUCCCGGUUUAAGCGUGUAGGUGUGUGUUCCAGGUAAAUCCGGUUCACUUUAACACUGAGGCGUGACGACGAGGCACUACGGUGCUGAAGCAACAAAUGCCCUGCUUCCAGGAAAAGCCUCUAAGCAUCAGGUAACAUCAAAUCGUACCCCAAACCGACACAGGUGGUCAGGUAGAGAAUACCAAGGCGCUUGAGAGAACUCGGGUGAAGGAACUAGGCAAAAUGGUGCCGUAACUUCGGGAGAAGGCACGCUGACAUGUAGGUGAAGUGAUUUACUCAUGGAGCUGAAGUCAGUCGAAGAUACCAGCUGGCUGCAACUGUUUAUUAAAAACACAGCACUGUGCAAACACGAAAGUGGACGUAUACGGUGUGACGCCUGCCCGGUGCCGGAAGGUUAAUUGAUGGGGUCAGCGCAAGCGAAGCUCCUGAUCGAAGCCCCGGUAAACGGCGGCCGUAACUAUAACGGUCCUAAGGUAGCGAAAUUCCUUGUCGGGUAAGUUCCGACCUGCACGAAUGGCGUAAUGAUGGCCAGGCUGUCUCCACCCGAGACUCAGUGAAAUUGAACUCGCUGUGAAGAUGCAGUGUACCCGCGGCAAGACGGAAAGACCCCGUGAACCUUUACUAUAGCUUGACACUGAACAUUGAGCCUUGAUGUGUAGGAUAGGUGGGAGGCUUUGAAGUGUGGACGCCAGUCUGCAUGGAGCCGACCUUGAAAUACCACCCUUUAAUGUUUGAUGUUCUAACGUGGACCCGUAAUCCGGGUUGCGGACAGUGUCUGGUGGGUAGUUUGACUGGGGCGGUCUCCUCCUAAAGAGUAACGGAGGAGCACGAAGGUUGGCUAAUCCUGGUCGGACAUCAGGAGGUUAGUGCAAUGGCAUAAGCCAGCUUGACUGCGAGCGUGACGGCGCGAGCAGGUGCGAAAGCAGGUCAUAGUGAUCCGGUGGUUCUGAAUGGAAGGGCCAUCGCUCAACGGAUAAAAGGUACUCCGGGGAUAACAGGCUGAUACCGCCCAAGAGUUCAUAUCGACGGCGGUGUUUGGCACCUCGAUGUCGGCUCAUCACAUCCUGGGGCUGAAGUAGGUCCCAAGGGUAUGGCUGUUCGCCAUUUAAAGUGGUACGCGAGCUGGGUUUAGAACGUCGUGAGACAGUUCGGUCCCUAUCUGCCGUGGGCGCUGGAGAACUGAGGGGGGCUGCUCCUAGUACGAGAGGACCGGAGUGGACGCAUCACUGGUGUUCGGGUUGUCAUGCCAAUGGCACUGCCCGGUAGCUAAAUGCGGAAGAGAUAAGUGCUGAAAGCAUCUAAGCACGAAACUUGCCCCGAGAUGAGUUCUCCCUGAGACUUAAAGUCUCCUGAAGGAACGUUGAAGACGACGACGUUGAUAGGCCGGGUGUGUAAGCGCAGCGAUGCGUUGAGCUAACCGGUACUAAUGAACCGUGAGGCUUAACCUU